Molecule: ribosomal RNA, 460 nt
Filed under: uncultured bacterium
Lineage: Bacteria
Description: partial 16S ribosomal RNA
Rfam family: Bacterial small subunit ribosomal RNA
Source: RNAcentral
CCUACGUGUGGCAGCAGUGAGGAAUAUUGGUCAAUGGACGCAAGUCUGAACCAGCCAUGCCGCGUGCAGGAAGACGGCUCUAUGAGUUGUAAACUUCUUUUGUACGGGAGUAAAGGCAUACACGCGUGUAUAUUUGAAUGUAUCCUACGAAUAAGGAUCGGCUAACUCCGUGCCAGCAGCCGCGGUAAUACGGAGGAUUCGAGCGUUAUCCGGAUUUAUUGGGUUUAAAGGGUGCGUAGGUGGUUGGUUAAGUCAGUGGUGAAAGCUCGCGGCUCAACUGUAAAAUUGCCUUUGAUACUGUUCGGCUAGAGUGUAGUUGCGGUAGGCGGAAUGUGUGGUGUAGCGGUGAAAUGCUUAGAGAUCAUACAGAACUCCGAUUGCGAAGGCAGCUUACUAAGCUACUUCUGACAUUGAGGCACGAAAGCGUGGGGAGCAAACAGGAUUAGAUACCCCAGUAGUC